This is a long non-coding RNA of Dalotia coriaria, 368 nucleotides long. RefSeq lists it as uncharacterized. The transcript has 3 exons. NCBI's taxonomy places the organism in Eukaryota, Metazoa, Arthropoda, Insecta, Coleoptera, Staphylinidae. The record is from RefSeq and is a predicted model, not a curated record.
AGCGGCACAACGUAAAAAGCUUCCCGCUUCCGUCCGAAGAGUCAAAACGUCAGCCCGGCCAGGAUAUGAAACUAAAUGCAAGCACUAAAUAGAAUCGAAAAAAGGCAUUAGUUGCUAGUUUAACACGGUUUAAGCGGGACAAAUUGACGACGAUUGUGGUGAUAUGAUGGAAUUCCGAAGCCAAAAACAUGAAAAAUGACCUGAAAAACGAGCGUAACAUGAAUGCAAAAUGUCAUUUAAGGUUAAUAUACGAUGAUAAAUUACCCGGUUGGAAAAUUACUAAUUGUAUCGUACAAAGCAACAAGCGACGAUACCAAUGCAGCGCGGAAUCGAAGGCGUAAACAAAUAGCCUUUUGUGACGAUAAUCU